RNAcentral lists this ribosomal RNA (231 nucleotides) under uncultured bacterium. RNAcentral's name for it is "partial 16S ribosomal RNA". It matches the Rfam family "Bacterial small subunit ribosomal RNA", at positions 15 to 240 of the family's 1533-position model. The record is from RNAcentral.
GAUCCUGGCUCAGGAUGAACGCUAGCUACAGGCUUAACACAUGCAAGUCGAGGGGCAGCGGGAUUGAAGCUUGCUUCAAUUGCCGGCGACCGGCGCACGGGUGAGUAACGCGUAUCCAACCUUCCACAUACUCGGGAUAGCCUUCUGAAAAGGANAUUAAUACCCGAUGGUAUCAAGAGAUUGCAUGAUAACUUGAUUAAGAAUUUCGGUAUGCGAUGGGGAUGCGUUCCA